AACGAACGCUGGCGGCAUGCCUAACACAUGCAAGUCGAACGAGACCUUCGGGUCUAGUGGCGCACGGGUGCGUAACGCGUGGGAACCUGCCCUUAGGUUCGGAAUAACUCCCCGAAAGGGGUGCUAAUACCGGAUAAUUUCUUCUGACCAAAGAUUUAUCGCCUUUGGAUGGGCCCGCGUUGGAUUAGCUAGUUGGUAGGGUAAAAGCCUACCAAGGCGACGAUCCAUAGCUGGUCUGAGAGGAUGAUCAGCCACACUGGGACUGAGACGCGGCCCAGACUCCUACGGGAGGCAGCAGUGGGGAAUAUUGGACAAUGGGCGAAAGCCUGAUCCAGCAAUGCCGCGUGAGUGAUGAAGGCCUUAGGGUUGUAAAGCUCUUUUACCCGGGAUGAUAAUGACAGUACCGGGAGAAUAAGCUCCGGCUAACUCCGUG
RNAcentral lists this ribosomal RNA (433 nucleotides) under uncultured bacterium. RNAcentral describes it as "partial 16S ribosomal RNA". It matches the Rfam family "Bacterial small subunit ribosomal RNA", at positions 29 to 507 of the family's 1533-position model. The record is from RNAcentral.